GCGGGCGGCUAGCUCAGCGGAAGAGCGCUCGCCUCACACGCGAGAGGUCGUAGGUUCAAGUCCUACGCCGCCCAC
Molecule: transfer RNA, 75 nt
Filed under: Thermus thermophilus HB27
Lineage: Bacteria; Thermotogati; Deinococcota; Deinococci; Thermales; Thermaceae
Description: tRNA-Val
Rfam family: tRNA
About the family: Transfer RNA (tRNA) molecules are approximately 80 nucleotides in length. Their secondary structure includes four short double-helical elements and three loops (D, anti-codon, and T loops). Further hydrogen bonds mediate the characteristic L-shaped molecular structure. tRNAs have two regions of fundamental functional importance: the anti-codon, which is responsible for specific mRNA codon recognition, and the 3' end, to which the tRNAs corresponding amino acid is attached (by aminoacyl-tRNA synthetases). tRNAs cope with the degeneracy of the genetic code in two manners: having more than one tRNA (with a specific anti-codon) for a particular amino acid; and 'wobble' base-pairing, i.e. permitting non-standard base-pairing at the 3rd anti-codon position.
Source: RNAcentral